RNAcentral lists this ribosomal RNA (800 nucleotides) under uncultured bacterium. RNAcentral's name for it is "bacterial SSU rRNA". It matches the Rfam family "Bacterial small subunit ribosomal RNA", at positions 8 to 802 of the family's 1533-position model. The record is from RNAcentral.
AGAGUUUGAUCCUGGCUCAGAACGAACGCUGGCGGCGCGCCUAAUACAUGCAAGUCGAGCGAGAAGACGUAGCAAUACGUUUGUAAAGCGGCGAACGGGUGAGGAAUACAUGGGUAACCUACCCUCGAGUGGGGAAUAACUAGCCGAAAGGUUAGCUAAUACCGCAUACGGCUCUCGGUCUGCGGAUCGAGAGGGAAAGCGAUACCGUGGGUAUCGCGCUCAUGGAUGGGCUCAUGUCCUAUCAGCUUGUUGGUGAGGUAAUGGCUCACCAAGGCUUCGACGGGUAGCUGGUCUGAGAGGACGAUCAGCCACACUGGCACUGCGACACGGGCCAGACUCCUACGGGAGGCAGCAGUAAGGAAUAUUGCGCAAUGGGCGACAGCCUGACGCAGCGACGCCGCGUGGGGGAUGAAGGUCUUCGGAUUGUAAACCCCUUUCGGCAGGGAAGAUGGAACGGGUAACCGUUCGGACGGUACCUGCAGAAGCAGCCACGGCUAACUUCGUGCCAGCAGCCGCGGUAAUACGAAGGUGGCAAGCGUUGUUCGGAUUUACUGGGCGUACAGGGAGCGUAGGCGGUUGGGUAAGCCCUCCGUGAAAUCUCCGGGCCUAACCCGGAAAGUGCGGAGGGGACUGCUCGGCUAGAGGAUGGGAGAGGAGCGCGGAAUUCCCGGUGUAGCGGUGAAAUGCGUAGAGAUCGGGAGGAAGGCCGGUGGCGAAGGCGGCGCUCUGGAACAUUUCUGACGCUGAGGCUCGAAAGCGUGGGGAGCAGACAGGAUUAGAUACCCUGGUAGUCCACGCCU